AGGACGACGCUGGCGGCGUGCCUAAUACAUGCAGGUCGAACGGUCUUUCUAUGGAAGCUUGCUUCCACUGAGAAGAUAGUGGCGAACGGGUGAGUAACACGUGGGUAACCUGCCCAUAAGAGGGGGAUAACAUCCGGAAACGGGUGCUAAUACCGCAUAGUUUUCUUGAUCACAUGAUUGAGAAAGGAAAGACGGCCUUUGUGCUGUCGCUUAUGGAUGGACCCGCGGCGUAUUAGUUAGUUGGUGAGGUAACGGCUCACCAAGACGAUGAUACGUAGCCGACCUGAGAGGGUGAUCGGCCACAUUGGGACUGAGACACGGCCCAAACUCCUACGGGAGGCAGCAGUAGGGAAUCUUCCGCAAUGGACGAAAGUCUGACGGAGCAACGCCGCGUGAGUGAAGAAAGGUUUUCGGAUCGUAAAACUCUGUUGUCAGAGAAGAACAAGUUGGAGAGUAACUGCUCCAGCCUUGACGGUAUCUGACCAGAAAGCCACGGCUAACUACGUGCCAGCCGCUGC
RNAcentral lists this ribosomal RNA (518 nucleotides) under uncultured bacterium. RNAcentral describes it as "bacterial SSU rRNA". It matches the Rfam family "Bacterial small subunit ribosomal RNA", at positions 32 to 518 of the family's 1533-position model. The record is from RNAcentral.